RNAcentral lists this ribosomal RNA (497 nucleotides) under uncultured bacterium. Its description in RNAcentral is "partial 16S ribosomal RNA". It matches the Rfam family "Bacterial small subunit ribosomal RNA", at positions 28 to 507 of the family's 1533-position model. The record is from RNAcentral.
GAUGAACGCUGGCGGCGUGCCUAACACAUGCAAGUCGAACGAACAGGCGAGGAUCUUGCGGCUCUCACGUGAGCGGCGGGCGGGUGAGUAACGCGUGUAUAACCUACCUGUAAGGCGGAGAUAACUUCGAGAAAGCGGAUCUAAUACCGGAUAAUAUAUUGAACCACAUGGUUGAAUGGUGAGAUUCGGUUGUUCUGGAACGUAUAGAUGGAUCCGGGCCGCAUGAGCUAGUUGGUAAGGUAACGGCUUACCAAGGCAACUAUGCGUAGCCGACGGGUGAGGGGGGUCGCCCACCCUGGAAGUGGACCGCGGACCAGGCUCCUAAGGGAGGCACCAGUAGCGAAUGUUCCGCAGUGGGCGAAAGCCUGGCGGAGCAGCGCAGAGUGAGUGAUGAAGGUGUUCGGUUCGUAAAACUGUGUUAUUAGUGAAGAACCAAUGUGUCAGUAACUAUGCCCGUCUUGACGGUACCUAGUCAGGAAGCACCGGCUAACUACGUG